RNAcentral lists this ribosomal RNA (253 nucleotides) under uncultured bacterium. RNAcentral describes it as "partial 16S ribosomal RNA". It matches the Rfam family "Bacterial small subunit ribosomal RNA", at positions 524 to 776 of the family's 1533-position model. The record is from RNAcentral.
UACGUAGGCAGCAAGCGUUGUUCGGAGUUACUGGGCGUAAAGGGUGUGUAGGCGGUUUUUUAAGUUUGGUGUGAAAUCUCCCGGCUCAACUGGGAGGGUGCGCCGAAUACUGAAAGACUAGAGUGCGGGAGAGGAAAGUGGAAUUCCUGGUGUAGCGGUGAAAUGCGUAGAUAUCAGGAGGAACACCGGUGGUGUAGACGGCUUUCUGGACCGUGACUGACGCUGAGGAGCGAAAGCGUGGGUAGCAAACAGG